This 272-nucleotide ribosomal RNA is filed under the name uncultured bacterium. Its description in RNAcentral is "partial 16S ribosomal RNA". It matches the Rfam family "Bacterial small subunit ribosomal RNA", at positions 355 to 619 of the family's 1533-position model. The record is from RNAcentral.
UAGGGAAUCUUCCACAAUGGACGCAAGUCUGAUGGAGCAACGCCGCGUGAGUGAAGAAGGCUUUCGGGUCGUAAAACUCUGUUAUUGAAGAAGAACGUGCGUGACAGUAACUGGUCAUGCAGUGACGGUAUUCAAUCAGAAAGUCACGGCUAACUACGUGCCAGCAGCCGCGGUAAUACGUAGGUGGCAAGCGUUGUCCGGAUUUAUUGGGCGUAAAGCGAGUGCAGGCGGUCUUUUAAGUCUGAUGUGAAAGCCUUCGGCUUAACCGAAGA